ACAUGGUCGAUUCAGAUUCGUUAUAGAGAGUUUUCACUGUAAUAAUAAACUAACUUUACAUUUUAUUUAAUACCCUUUCCUUACAAGCAGCCUUUGUAAUUAAUUACAACAGUAGUUCUGUAAUAGUUUUACUUAUCUAAUUUUAAUAUGUCUACUGGCUAAAUUCAUAAACAACACUUAGUAUUUACUGAAAUAUUACUUGCCUAAGAGGCACUUAUGAUUUGUAUUCAUUAAUAAUACUAAAAUUUUACUUAAGGAAGAUUUAUAAGUGAUAUUAUUUUUAUCUUUCCACAAUAUUUCUAUUUGUUAUUUUUGAUGUUGUUAUCAACCAUGAUAUUUUUCCAGUACCUAUUUAUAGAUAUAUAGAUACAUUAUGGACGUUGGCCCGCAGUCGUUGAGUGUUGACCGCUGUAGUCCGUAAUGUGAAAAAUAUAAUUUUGUAGCCAUGUCAAAAUCUAAAGCGCUUAUCGCUGAAGAAAUUACAUGCUUAGAAGAAUUAGUCCUAAAGUAUAAACACAUCAUCUUAAUGAAAAAAAGUGAUUCUGCCACGGUUGCAUUACAGCAAAAAACUUUGAUGACAAUUGAUAAAGAAUUUGAUAUGCAAGGCUUAUUUUUAAAUCAUACUGCCGWUCAAUUAAAAAAGAUGGGAGAACACGCUACAGUCAAAUAAUAAAGUAAUAGCAGCAGAAAAACAAGAAAGAAGAAAAACAGGAAGUCAAGUUACAGUUGUGACAAAUCAGGAAUCGAUCGAUGAAUUGAUUGAAACAACUGUAAAUAUAGAAAUUCCAAAUAUCAUUGACAGUGAUCAUUUUGAGAUAAUUUAUGCUGAUGACACUAAUGAUAAUUUAAGUGAAGAAAUGGUUCCCUGUACUCCAGAGAAAAAUCUACAUCAACCAGAGUCAACAAUGCUAUUGAAAACAACAUACCCAAUUAAAAAACAUGAUUUGCCUAACA
Molecule: RNA transcript, 954 nt
Organism: Diuraphis noxia (Russian wheat aphid)
Lineage: Eukaryota; Metazoa; Arthropoda; Insecta; Hemiptera; Aphididae
Source: RefSeq, a predicted model, not a curated record